Molecule: ribosomal RNA, 1123 nt
Filed under: Salmonella enterica
Lineage: Bacteria; Pseudomonadati; Pseudomonadota; Gammaproteobacteria; Enterobacterales; Enterobacteriaceae
Also listed under: 1 other name
Description: bacterial SSU rRNA
Rfam family: Bacterial small subunit ribosomal RNA
Source: RNAcentral
AAAUUGAAGAGUUUGAUCAUGGCUCAGAUUGAACGCUGGCGGCAGGCCUAACACAUGCAAGUCGAACGGUAGCACAGAGAGCUUGCUCUCGGGUGACGAGUGGCGGACGGGUGAGUAAUGUCUGGGAAACUGCCCGAUGGAGGGGGAUAACUACUGGAAACGGUAGCUAAUACCGCAUAACGUCGCAAGACCAAAGUGGGGGACCUUCGGGCCUCACACCAUCGGAUGUGCCCAGAUGGGAUUAGCUAGUAGGUGGGGUAACGGCUCACCUAGGCGACGAUCCCUAGCUGGUCUGAGAGGAUGACCAGCCACACUGGAACUGAGACACGGUCCAGACUCCUACGGGAGGCAGCAGUGGGGAAUAUUGCACAAUGGGCGCAAGCCUGAUGCAGCCAUGCCGCGUGUAUGAAGAAGGCCUUCGGGUUGUAAAGUACUUUCAGCGAGGAGGAAGGCGUUGUGGUUAAUAACCACAGCGAUUGACGUUACUCGCAGAAGAAGCACCGGCUAACUCCGUGCCAGCAGCCGCGGUAAUACGGAGGGUGCAAGCGUUAAUCGGAAUUACUGGGCGUAAAGCGCACGCAGGCGGUUUGUUAAGUCAGAUGUGAAAUCCCCGGGCUCAACCUGGGAACUGCAUUUGAAACUGGCAAGCUUGAGUCUCGUAGAGGGGGGUAGAAUUCCAGGUGUAGCGGUGAAAUGCGUAGAGAUCUGGAGGAAUACCGGUGGCGAAGGCGGCCCCCUGGACAAAGACUGACGCUCAGGUGCGAAAGCGUGGGGAGCAAACAGGAUUAGAUACCCUGGUAGUCCACGCCGUAAACGAUGUCUACUUGGAGGUUGUGCCCUUGAGGCGUGGCUUCCGGAGCUAACGCGUUAAGUAGACCGCCUGGGGAGUACGGCCGCAAGGUUAAAACUCAAAUGAAUUGACGGGGGCCCGCACAAGCGGUGGAGCAUGUGGUUUAAUUCGAUGCAACGCGAAGAACCUUACCUGGUCUUGACAUCCACGGAAGUUUUCAGAGAUGAGAAUGUGCCUUCGGGAACCGUGAGACAGGUGCUGCAUGGCUGUCGUCAGCUCGUGUUGUGAAAUGUUGGGUUAAGUCCCGCAACGAGCGCAACCCUUAUCCUUUGU